This 4689-nucleotide long non-coding RNA is filed under the name Diabrotica virgifera virgifera (western corn rootworm). RNAcentral's name for it is "uncharacterized LOC126882382". The record is from RNAcentral. Lineage: Eukaryota; Metazoa; Arthropoda; Insecta; Coleoptera; Chrysomelidae.
CUUAUUAUUGCUUUUUGUUUUGCUUAGGGGUUUAUACAUUUUUUAUCAAAUAGUAAAUAUUUAUCCAAUUUGAUUAUUUAUUAUGUUUAACUCCUGUAAAAUUAUUUGUUUACGUUUACAAUGGGUUGUUUAUUCUUUACAUUUUCACUUCACCUUUCAAAUUUUCUUAACGCUAAUAAAGGCUAAUAAUCAGUAAGAAUAUUAUUUCAAAGUGUUUCAAAUAUUUUGAAUUUGAACUGUUAUUUCAUAUAAAAUAAUAAUUUCAUACCUAUAUGAACCAUUUAUUCAUAAUAUUCCACAUGAAAAAAAAUGAAAAAUUAAAUGUUUUAUAAUAACAGUUUUGUCUUCGGAAUAUACGCCCAAUCGCUAGGUAUAUCUUAGUUUUUUCAAUUUAAUUUUUUUUUCGUCUCGGUGGUAUUCGAACCAAAAAAUUUGUUACUCCAAAAUAAAAAAUUUAUAGUACAUUGUUUACCGGGUAGGAAAAGCUUAACAUUCCUGGACGACUGUGAAGAUUGCUAAGUCGAGGCGCAAGCCGAGACUUAGCAACACAGAGUCCAGGAAUGUGGCUUUUCCUACGAGGUAAACAUACUAUUUUUCCGCAAAUCGUUUAAAAUUCGACAGAUAUUGAUUGAUUAAAAAAAAACGCGAUAAUUUUAUUCCCAAAUAAAUGGUGCUUUGAAAUUCCUAAUAAAAUUACUUGGGUUACUAUGGAAACGUAUUGAGGUUGAAUUGUCAAACUUGACGUUUAUAAAUUUAACACUAACAACUGUACGGAAAUAUCAUUUCCUUACAGUAAGGAAAUGACAUUUCCUUACAGUAAAGUCCACUUUACAUCAACAAUAAAUUGAACAAUAAAUUGACAAAGUUAUUCAAGGCCAAAUUUGACGUGUUAAAGCACACUUUGACAUCUAAGUUUGUUCGUUAUAAACUUCACGUGAAGAAAAAGAAAAUUGUUCUAUUUUUUCAUUUAUUUGGCGUGAAUUCAGUGUCACCAACCUGUGUCCAUUUGGCGGGAAGUGGAAGUAGAGCUUUUUGUUUAUUAUUAUUUGUUGAGGUUGAGUCUUUCAUGUUCAUGACAACCUAAAAAUUUUGAUUGGAAAAUGCAUAUAAGAUAAGGGGGUGGGAAAAUGGAAAUUAGUGGCUUUUUUUGCAGUUCUGUCUGUUAGUUUUGCGUUUUGCUCUGGCUGGGUCUCUUUUGUUUAAACAAUUAUAAUCAGCUGAAAGUGAUCUACAAAAAAACCAGGAAGGAAACGUAUUAUAGCCUUGUUGUGGCUAUGAAAGGCAAAAGAAAGAUACCUAUAAAAAGUGUAUUGACUAGUUGGAAGAAACUCCACAUUGUCAAUGCAUAAUAAGAUAUUACUUUAUAAACAAAUAUCAAGACCUAGGAAUGGAACCUGGAUAAUAUAGUCAUCAAGAAGAUAGCAGGAAGUCAUGAGCAACAACAACUUCAUAAGUAUGAGAAUAUUGAGGAAAUCCACACUCCUCGAUAUCUACUACUGGACAAACUAGAAGAUUGAAGAGGACAAAGCCUUUUGAACUAGUUUGAGUGAUAGGUGAUAGUGAAAAGCAGAGCGUAGUGCUUGUGUGCUUGUGUAUGUUAGAAUAGUGCACGAUCUUGUUAGAUUAGAUAAGAGACGCUAUGGGGUAAGCUCUUCAUUUUAAGGAACAGUAGUAAUUUAGGUUAAAUUAAAUUUGCUCAUUGGUCAGUUAUGACCAGAUUGUAAUUCUCUGAUGUUUGGCAAAAAGGGCUUAAGUCAGAAUUGCACAUCAAUAAUGUUUUGAUGAUUUCUGGACCAUAAAAAAAGUGUUGCAGACUUACACUGUAUGUACCAAUAAAAAGAGCCGAUUUUUCUGGUCCAGAAAUCAUCAAAACAUUAUCGAUGUGCAAUUCUGACUUAAGCCCUUUUUCCCAAACAUCAGAGAAUUGCAGUGUACAAUUCAAUACAAAUGAAUCAUCAUCCUAGUGAUGAUUAUGGAAAAAAAUAUAUGACAAGAUUUUGUGCAAUAAAAAUGUUUAUAUUUAUCAAGGAUGUAUUAUUUGGUAUGGCCACAUAUACUUCUGGUAUAUCGUCGGUGAUGUGACAAUACCUCCUAUCUGCUUUUUCAUGAAUUUUGUAGGAGACGAAAAACCAUUUUUAGGGUCAUCUCUGUUUUCACAUGUAAAUUUUGACAUGUUUUGUGGUAAAUAGAUGAUUGAAUUUACUACAAAACAUGUCAAAAAAUAUCAUAUGAAAACAGGAGGUGACUGUAAAAAAAGUUUUUAGUCUCUCUUACAAAACGGUGAACAGAGGUGACAGUUAAUAGAGAGACAGAUAAUCGAGGUUCUACUGUAUAGUGAAAUUUGGACACCCGACACCCCAUACAAAUUUUAUGGGGGUUUUGUUUGUUUAAACCCCCCCAAACUUUUGUGUAAGUUACAAUUGAAUUAUUAUUGUGGUACUAUUAAACACAAUGUUUUUAAAACUUUUUUGCCUCUUAGUACUUUUUUGAAGUCAGUUUUUAUCGUGAUAUUUUGAAUAUUUGUCCAAUCCACCACAUAUUUGUAUAUGGUUAAGUACGAUUGUAGAGACUAAUAAUAUGAAAAUUUAUUUAUGAUUUACAUUUUUAGGUAUAUUUUGAACCAUUUUAAAAAGAAGCCAUAUCUUGAUAAAAAGAGCUUUAUCGAAAAAAUAGAAAGAGGUAAAAAAGUUUUAAAAACACAGUGUUUAACUAAUGGUACCGCAGAAAUAAUUUAAUUGGAACGUACCCAAAAGUUUGGGGGGGUUAAAGGGAACAAAACCCCCAUAAAAUUUUUAUCAUCAUCAUCAUCAUUGGCUCGACAGCCCUUUCUGGGUUUUGGCCUGUUCCAGGAUUCUUCUCCACUCUGAUCUGUUUCGUGCUUUUUUUCUCCAGUUUUUUAUUUUUAAGGUUUUUAUAUCAUUUUCUAUUUGUUCUAAAUAUCUCAGCUUCGGUCUUCCUCUUGUUCUUUUUCCUACUGGCAUCUGUUUGAAUAUUUUGUUUGGUAUUUCGCCUUCUUCCAUUCUUUCUACAUGUCCCAUCCAACGCAGCCGUCCUAUUUUAAUGAAUGUUAUGAUAUCCGGAUCCUGGUAUAUUUCAUAUACUUAGUUCAAAGUUGUACCUUCUUCGCCAAAUUCCAUUUUCUUUUGUGCCCUUAUAUAUGUGUCGCAAGAUUUUUCUUUUAAAGGUGGCUAGCAAUGUUUCCUCUCUUUUAGUGAGUGUCCAGGUUUCUGAGCCGUAUGUGAGUACCGGUCUUAUUAGGGUUUUGUAUAUUUGGCAUUUUGUUUUCCUUGCGACGUUGUCUGAUCUUAGUAGCCGAAUUAAGCCAUGGUAACUUUUAUUGGCAAUAAAUAUUCGCCUCUUCACUUCCUCUGCUACGUUAUUAUCAGAUGUGACUAGGGAUCACAAGUAUGUAAAGUUUUUUACCCCCUCAAUGUUGUAUUCUCCUAUUGUUAUAUUUUGUGGCUGCCUUAUUUCUGUGUUUUUACUUACCUGCAUAUAUUUUGUUUUGUUCUGGUUGAUUUUAAGGCCACUAUUUUGUGCAGCUCAUUCUAUUUGAUUGAAUGCCUCUAUCAUUUUUACAUUAGUAUUUUCAAAGGUAAUAGGAAGAUCAAUACUUCAUAUAAAAUAAAUAAUGAAGAUCUGAAAUAUGUUUCAAAAGUUAAAGAUUUAGGAGUGAUUUUUGACGAGAGUUUGAGUUUUGUUGAACACAUUAAUUACAUAACAGUUCAGUCUUCAAAAAUGUUAGGAUUUAUUUUGAGACACUGUAGUAAUUUUUCAGUUGACACUGUAAGAGGAGUUUAUUGUUCUUUGGUGCGAUCUAAACUUGAAUAUGGCUCUAUAGUAUGGUCUCCAUAACAUGCAGUUCAUAAUAUGACUGUUGAAAAAAUUCAACACAAAUUUUUGAGGUUCUGUGCAUUUAAAUUAGGUCAAACUAUUGUAGAUCACGAUUAUUCAUUAAUAGAAAACAGUUUAAAACUUAAUACACUGAAAAAUAGAGGUAAUCAAGUAGGAUUAGUAUUUUUGUAUAAUUUAAUAAAUGGAAAUUUAGAUUGCUGUGAUCUAUUACAGUGUAUUAAUGUUGAUAUACAAACUAGAAAUUGAAGAGGUGAUUUUAUAACAUUUUAUAUUCCUUUCCAUCGCACAAGUUAUGGCCAAAAUUCACCUAUAGAUCGUUACUGUAAGCUUAUAAAUGACAAACACAUUGAAAUUUUUGAUAUAUCUCUGAAUAUGUUUAAAAAUAAUUUAAAUAGAGUAUUUAUUUAAUUUUUUUGUUAGUUCUAAGGUUAUAGGUUACUUCCUUAUGCUUGUCAUGCACGGGGAGCUAUACUGUAAUAUAUAUUAUAUCACAUCGCUCUCUAUAGUAAUGAGUGAGCCUGCACAUACGGAACCAUUAGUUCCCUGUCUGCAGGCUCACUCAUUACUAUAGAGAGUGAUAUGAUAUAAUAUACAUAUAUUACAGUAUAGCUCCCAGUGCAUGACAAGCUUAAGGAUGUAACCUAUAGCCUAGGCUAUAUUAUAAAAAAAUCACUCAGAUGGGACAACAGGUUUAGAAAAUUCGAGACAUCAAAAAUGCCCUAUUUUUAAGGUGGUGCGUUAAUUUCUUGGAGAAGUGUAUUGUAAUUUAAUGUAAAUAAUGUAAUAUUAAAUAAUUGUAAUUUAAUAUAAGAUGUAAUAUAAGUUCCUUAAAAA